GCAGUCGAGCGAUUUACUUCGGUAAAGAGCGGCGGACGGGUGAGUAACCCUUGAGUAACCUGCCCUAUACACGCGGAUAACAUACCGAACCGGUAUGCUAAUACGAGAUGACAUAAGAGAUUCGCAUGGAUUUCUUAUCAAAGCUUUUGCGGUAUAGGAUGGACCCGCGUCUGAUUAGCUAGUUGGUAAGGUAACGGCUUACCAAGGCGACGAUCAGUAGCCGACCUGAGAGGGUGAUCGGCCACAUUGGAACUGAGACACGGUCCAAACUCCUACGGGAGGCAGCAGUGGGGAAUAUUGCACAAUGGGCGAAAGCCUGAUGCAGCAACGCCGCGUGAGCGAUGAAGGCCUUCGGGUCGUAAAGCUCUGUCCUCAAGGAAGAUAAUGACGGUACUUGAGGAGGAAGCCCCGGCUAACUACGUGCCAGCAGCCGCGGUAAUACGUAGGGGGCUAGCGUUAUCCGGAAUUACUGGGCGUAAAGGGUGCGUAGGUGGUUUCUUAAGUCAGAGGUGAAAGGCUACGGCUCAACCGUAGUAAGCCUUUGAAACUGAGAAACUUGAGUGCAGGAGAGGAGAGUAGAAUUCCUAGUGUAGCGGUGAAAUGCGUAGAUAUUAGGAGGAAUACCAGUUGCGAAGGCGGCUCUCUGGACUGUAACUGACACUGAGGCACGAAAGC
This 675-nucleotide ribosomal RNA is filed under the name uncultured bacterium. RNAcentral describes it as "bacterial SSU rRNA". It matches the Rfam family "Bacterial small subunit ribosomal RNA", at positions 57 to 760 of the family's 1533-position model. The record is from RNAcentral.